GAUCAUGGCUCAGAUUGAACGCUGGCGGCAUGCCUUACACAUGCAAGUCGAACGGCAGCGGGCCUUCGGGUGCCGGCGAGUGGCGAACGGGUGAGUAAUGCAUCGGAACGUGCCAUUGAGUGGGGGAUAACGUAGCGAAAGUUACGCUAAUACCGCAUAUUCUGUGAGCAGGAAAGCAGGGGACCGCAAGGCCUUGCGCUCUUUGAGCGGCCGAUGUCAGAUUAGCUAGUUGGUGAGGUAAAGGCUUACCAAGGCGACGAUCUGUAGCGGGUCUGAGAGGAUGAUCCGCCACACUGGAACUGAGACACGGUCCAGACUCCUACGGGAGGCAGCUGUGGGGAAUUUUGGACAAUGGGCGCAAGCCUGAUCCAGCCAUGCCGCGUGAGUGAAGAAGGCCUUCGGGUUGUAAAGCUCUUUCGGCCGGGAAGAAAUCGCAUGGGUUAAUACCCUGUGUGGAUGACGGUACCGGAAUAAGAAGCACCGGCUAACUACGUG
RNAcentral lists this ribosomal RNA (495 nucleotides) under uncultured bacterium. Its description in RNAcentral is "bacterial SSU rRNA". It matches the Rfam family "Bacterial small subunit ribosomal RNA", at positions 15 to 507 of the family's 1533-position model. The record is from RNAcentral.